CACAAGCCGAACCGAACGCCGCGGAGAGUCUUCAUGUCGGACCCGGUCUUCCACUUCUCUUCCCGUGGGCAAAGCUGAAAGCAAGAGUCCCAUCGAGUUCCAAAUCUUCCUGCUUUUAGAUUAGCUGCGUGAUUGUCCAUGGAAGAAUCGUCGUCAUCUUCUUCUCCUUCUUCUUCGACGGCCCCCCUGCAUCCUCUUUCCUACUGGGAUUGCCUCAACCUGUUUCUUCUCCGCCCGUUUCUCGCCAUCUACUUCGUCUUCUCCUUCAUCCUUCUGGGUUGGUAUUUGGCGUGGAAGCUAGUUCUGGUACAUGUUCCUCUGGUUCAGGAGAUCUUCGGCCUCCGGAAGAAGUCUGUCAAGCCGAAGCCCCCGACUCGCCAUCGGCUUUCGAAGUUCUAUAGUAGCAUGAAUCGUGAUCCCCAACAACACCCUGACUCUAAAAAGCCGAUUUGAGAUCGUUUAUUAGGCAUGGUAACCUCUAAAUGGCAAACCUUUUAAGAUGGUAAUUUUGCAUCUGUUGAGGCUGUCUGACUUUGAAUUGAUUGUGAUGUGUUUUGGUUAAUCUCUCCGGUAUACUUAAGACAGAUCGAGCAACUCUCGGAUGAGGGAGGCAAUCAGGCUUGUUAGGUCACUAUGUUUGACAAGGAUGAGGAACCUCAGAAAUUUGUGCCGGAGACAUGCUGAUAUUCCACACCCAAUCUCUAAAGGUGUCAAUAGGUCUGAAAGGUUGAAGAUCGUCCGGUUUGUAGAUCGACAUUCUUAAUACAUCACAGGUGUAAUUAUUCGCUCCGUGCGUAUUCAGUUCCAUCUCGUCAUUGUAAUUAUUCAAUUAAGUGCAUAUUCUGUUCCAUCUCUUAUCCAGUCCACAUUUACACGAAGUUUAUGCGCGUCAAAUCAAUGUCAAUGGCAGUAUAGCGAGCAAGUUUUAAGCAGGCAUGUUUUUUUUUUUUUGGGUCGAAGCAGCAGGCGUGUUGAAUGGAGAAAUUUUUCAGCUUAUAUGACAUAGCUAGUGCCCGGUGCUUGUCUUGCUACAAUUCGAUGUUACCUUCCGAACCGUAAAUGCUCAUAUUUUACUAUUCCAGUUCAAUUAA
RNA transcript from Syzygium oleosum, 1091 nucleotides. RefSeq lists it as uncharacterized. Lineage: Eukaryota; Viridiplantae; Streptophyta; Magnoliopsida; Myrtales; Myrtaceae. The record is from RefSeq and is a predicted model, not a curated record. The transcript has 3 exons.